GGGUGCUUAGCUCAGCGGUAGAGCGCCUCGCUUACACCGAGGAUGUCGGGGGUUCGAAACCCUCAGCGCCCACCA
This 75-nucleotide transfer RNA is filed under the name Actinomycetes bacterium. Its description in RNAcentral is "tRNA-Val". It matches the Rfam family "tRNA". Rfam says of the family: Transfer RNA (tRNA) molecules are approximately 80 nucleotides in length. Their secondary structure includes four short double-helical elements and three loops (D, anti-codon, and T loops). Further hydrogen bonds mediate the characteristic L-shaped molecular structure. tRNAs have two regions of fundamental functional importance: the anti-codon, which is responsible for specific mRNA codon recognition, and the 3' end, to which the tRNAs corresponding amino acid is attached (by aminoacyl-tRNA synthetases). tRNAs cope with the degeneracy of the genetic code in two manners: having more than one tRNA (with a specific anti-codon) for a particular amino acid; and 'wobble' base-pairing, i.e. permitting non-standard base-pairing at the 3rd anti-codon position. Lineage: Bacteria; Bacillati; Actinomycetota; Actinomycetes. The record is from RNAcentral. RNAcentral also lists the same sequence under 3 other names.